GUGAGAAGGGAGGAUAGCCACAACAACAUUCUUUUGCCAGAGCUCAAGGCCGAGUCGCUGGAGUAUGGAGGGGAAUAAGUGGACUUGGCAGGAGUUCAGAAUGGAGGUGGAUUGGAGAGUGUGACUUGAGGCUCAUCAAGAGGGGCUGGG
This is a non-coding RNA of Notechis scutatus (mainland tiger snake), 150 nucleotides long. Lineage: Eukaryota; Metazoa; Chordata; Lepidosauria; Squamata; Elapidae. The record is from RefSeq and is a predicted model, not a curated record.